GAUGAACGCUGGCGGCGUGCCUAACACAUGCAAGUCGAGCGAACAGACGCGGCGUUUGCUCCUCUGACGUUUGCGGCGGACGGGUGAGUAACACGUGGAUACCCCACCUUUAAGACUGGGAAAAUUUCGGGAAUCCGGCUCUAACACCGGAUAAUCUAUUGAUCCGCAUGGUUCAAUAGUGAAAGACGGCUUUGCUGGAACUUAUCGAUGGUUCUGGGCGGUAUUAGUUGGUUGGUAGGGUAACGGGUUUCCAAGGCAAAGAUGCGUAGCCGACUUGACAGGCGGAUCGGCCGCACUGGAAGGGGGACACGGACCUUACGCCUACGGGAGGCAGCAGAAGGGAAUCGUCCGCAAUGGGCGAGAGCCUUACAGAGCAGCGCCGCGUGAGUGGUGAAGGUCUUCGGAUCGUAAAGCUCUGUUAUGGGGGAAGAACAGAUGUGUAAGGAGAUGUGCACGGCUUGACGGUACCGAAUCAGAAAGCCACGGCUAACUACGUG
RNAcentral lists this ribosomal RNA (497 nucleotides) under uncultured bacterium. Its description in RNAcentral is "partial 16S ribosomal RNA". It matches the Rfam family "Bacterial small subunit ribosomal RNA", at positions 28 to 507 of the family's 1533-position model. The record is from RNAcentral.